UGGGGAAUUUUGGACAAUGGGCGAAGCCUGAUCCAGCAAUGCCGCGUGUGUGAAGAGGGCCUUCGGGUUGUAAAGCACUUUUGUCCGGAAAGAAAUCCUUGGCUCUAAUACAGUCGGGGGAUGACGGUACCGGAAGAAUAAGCACCGGCUAACUACGUGCCAGCAGCCGCGGUAAUACGUAGGGUGCAAGCGUUAAUCGGAAUUACUGGGCGUAAAGCGUGCGCAGGCGGUUUGCUAAGACCGAUGUGAAAUCCCCGGGCUCAACCUGGGAACUGCAUUGGUGACUGGCAGGCUAGAGUAUGGCAGAGGGGGGUAGAAUUCCACGUGUAGCAGUGAAAUGCGUAGAGAUGUGGAGGAAUACCGAUGGCGAAGGCAGCCCCCUGGGCCAAAUACUGACGCUCAUGCACGAAAAGCGUGGGGAGCAAACAGGAUUAGAUACCCUGGUAGUCCACGCCCUAAAACGAUGUCAACUAGUUGUUGGGGAUUCAUUUCCUUAGUAACGUAGCUAACGCGUGAAGUUGACCGCCUGGGGAGUACGUCGCAAGAUUAAAACUCAAAGGAAUUGACGGGGUCAUAGCUGUUUCCU
This 586-nucleotide ribosomal RNA is filed under the name uncultured bacterium. RNAcentral's name for it is "partial 16S ribosomal RNA". It matches the Rfam family "Bacterial small subunit ribosomal RNA", at positions 355 to 1375 of the family's 1533-position model. The record is from RNAcentral.